UACGUAGGGGGCGAGCGUUGUCCGGAUUCAUUGGGCGUAAAGAGCUCGUAGGCGGCUUGGCAAGUCGGGCGUGAAAUCCCCGAGCUUAACUCGGGAUGGUCGUUCGAUACUGCUAUGGCUUGAGUCUGGUAGGGGAGCAUGGAAUUCCUGGUGUAGCGGUGAAAUGCGCAGAUAUCAGGAGGAACACCGGUGGCGAAGGCGGUGCUCUGGGCCAGUACUGACGCUGAGGAGCGAAAGCGUGGGGAGCGAACAGG
This 254-nucleotide ribosomal RNA is filed under the name uncultured bacterium. RNAcentral's name for it is "partial 16S ribosomal RNA". It matches the Rfam family "Bacterial small subunit ribosomal RNA", at positions 524 to 776 of the family's 1533-position model. The record is from RNAcentral.